RNAcentral lists this long non-coding RNA (296 nucleotides) under Rhinopithecus bieti (black snub-nosed monkey). RNAcentral's name for it is "lncRNA (ENSRBIG00000046368.1)". Lineage: Eukaryota; Metazoa; Chordata; Mammalia; Primates; Cercopithecidae. The record is from RNAcentral.
UGAAGGGCUAAGCUGUAUAAGUUAUCUACUACAUACUCAGGAAUGCUAAGGUGUGUUGGUGCAGGUAACUUGAGAGCUUCUGAAGGUAUGUCUACCAUCAUCCAAACAUCAAAACUCAGUUAGACAGCAUUGAACUAGAAGAGAAAAUAGAAUUUGGAAGGUAUUUGUGGAAGAGGAAAGUGGAGAAUGAAGAACAGGAAACAGCAAGUGAAAGGAAAAAAGAAGCUUCUCUUCCCAUAAACAUUGAAGACAGAAAUGGGGAAAUCUUCCAUCCCAUAAGAGAUGUAAACAGAUAG